This 1151-nucleotide ribosomal RNA is filed under the name human gut metagenome. Its description in RNAcentral is "bacterial SSU rRNA". It matches the Rfam family "Bacterial small subunit ribosomal RNA", at positions 365 to 1520 of the family's 1533-position model. The record is from RNAcentral.
UCGGCAAUGGGGGAAACCCUGACCGAGCAACGCCGCGUGAAUGAUGACGGCCUUCGGGUUGUAAAAUUCUGUGGCGAGGAACGAAUGGCAAGGAGAGGAAAUGCUCUUUGUUUGACGGUACCUCGCUAGAAAGCCACGGCUAACUACGUGCCAGCAGCCGCGGUAAUACGUAGGUGGCAAGCGUUAUCCGGAAUUAUUGGGCGUAAAGAGUGAGCAGGCGGUUUUUUAAGUCUGAAGUCAAAUCCUGUGGCUCAACCACAGUUCGCUUUGGAAACUGAAGAACUAGAGUGCGGGAGAGGUAAGCGGAAUUCCAUAUGUAGCGGUGAAAUGCACAGAUAUAUGGAGGAACACCGGUGGCGAAGGCGGCUUACCAGCCCGAUACUGACGCUCAGUCACGAAAGCGUGGGGAGCAAAUAGGCUUAGAUACCCUAGUAGUCCACGCCGUAAACGUUGAGGACCUGAUGCCGGAGUAUUUCGGUGUCGUAGCUAACGCGUUAAGUCCUCCGCCUGGGUACUACGUUCGCAAGAAUAAAACUUAAAGGAAUUGACGGGGGCCCGCACAAGCAGUGGAGCAUGUGGUUUAAUUCGUCGCUACGCGAAAAACCUUACCAGGGUUUGACAUCCCGCUAAAAGUCUUGGAAACAAGAUUAUAGUUAUAGCGGUGAAAGGUGGUGCAUGGUUGUCGUCAGCUCGUGUCGUGAGAUGUUGGGUUAAGUCCCCUAACGAGCGCAACCCUUGUCUCUAUUUGCCAUCAUUAAGUUGGGAACUAUAGAGAGACUGCCGGUGCAAACCGGAGGAAGAUGGGGAUGACGUCAAAUCAUCAUGCCCCUUAUGCCCUGGGCCACACACGUGCUACAAUGGCCGGUACAGAGAGAAGCAAUCCCGUGAGGAGGAGCAAAUCUCACAAAGCCGGUCUCAGUUCGGAUUGGAGUCUGCAACUCGACUCCAUGAAGCUGGAAUUGCUAGUAAUCGCAGAUCAGCAUUGCUGCGGUGAAUACGUUCCCGGGCCUUGUACACACUGCCCGUCACACCAUGAGAGUCGGCAAUACUCGAAGUCGUUAUCUUAACCCGCAAGGGAGGGAGGCGCCUAAGGUAGGGCUGAUGAUUGGGGUUAAGUCGUAACAAGGUAUCCCUACGGGAACGUGGGGAUG